This 119-nucleotide ribosomal RNA is filed under the name Jaculus jaculus (lesser Egyptian jerboa). Lineage: Eukaryota; Metazoa; Chordata; Mammalia; Rodentia; Dipodidae. The record is from RNAcentral.
GCCUACGGCCACACCACCAUGAGCGCAUUUGAUCUCAUCUGAUCUCAGAAGCUAAGCAGGGUCAGGCCUGUUUACUAUUUGGAUGGGAGACCUUUUUAGAUAAUAUUUCUCUGUACCUU